CAGAGCCAAGAGAUCCAUUGUUGAAAGUUGUAACGAUUGUUUGUAUCAGAACAGGUAAUGCUAGAUGCAGAAGAGUUUGAUAAGUUCCAGCGGCAGGUUGCCCCACCGAAGGAGAACGAAAGGUGCUCGUAAAAAAAGGAUUCAGAAAUGUGGCGCGUUAGAGUGUUACCCCUACCGCCCGGGAGAGAGGACGCCAGAAGACGCCCACGCCCCCGGGGGCCGCAACCACACCUGGUGAGAUGGAUAAUGAUCCUU
This 255-nucleotide unclassified non-coding RNA is filed under the name uncultured Coniothyrium. RNAcentral describes it as "sequence contains ITS1". Lineage: Eukaryota; Fungi; Ascomycota; Dothideomycetes; Pleosporales; Leptosphaeriaceae. The record is from RNAcentral.